This 445-nucleotide ribosomal RNA is filed under the name uncultured bacterium. RNAcentral describes it as "partial 16S ribosomal RNA". It matches the Rfam family "Bacterial small subunit ribosomal RNA", at positions 354 to 796 of the family's 1533-position model. The record is from RNAcentral.
GUAAGGAAUAUUGGACAAUGGACGCAAGUCUGAUCCAGCCAUGCCGCGUGAAGGAUUAAGGUCCUCUGGAUUGUAAACUUCUUUUAUAAGGGACGAAAAAAGGCUUUUCUAAGUCGUCUGACGGUACCUUAUGAAUAAGCACCGGCUAACUCCGUGCCAGCAGCCGCGGUAAUACGGAGGGUGCAAGCUUUAUCCGGAUUCACUGGGUUUAAAGGGUGCGUAGGCGGGCAGGUAAGUCAGUGGUGAAAUCCUAGAGCUUAACUCUAGAACUGCCAUUGAUACUAUCUGUCUUGAAUAUUGUGGAGGUAAGCGGAAUAUGUCAUGUAGCGGUGAAAUGCUUAGAUAUGACAUAGAACACCUAUUGCGAAGGCAGCUUACUACGCAUAUAUUGACGCUGAGGCACGAAAGCGUGGGGAUCAAACAGGAUUAGAAACCCCGGUAGUCC